CGUGCAAAGGUAGCAUAAUCAUUUGUUCCUUAAUUAGGGACUGGAAUGAACGGCUUGACGAGGGUUUAACUGUCUCUUAUUUCCAAUCAGUGAAAUUGACCUUCCCGUGAAGAGGCGGGAAUUAUAAAAUAAGACGAGAAGACCCUAUGGAGCUUUAAUUUACUAGCUUAAUUCCAACAACAAACAACCUAAUGGCACAACACACMAAAMUAUAAWCUAGUAAUUUUGGUKGGGGUGACYUCGGAGCAUAAAAAAACCUCCGAAUGAUUUUAACUAAGACWCACAAGUCUAAGUAACUAUACAUCUUAUUGACCCAAAAAUUUUUGAUCAACGGACCAAGUUACCCUAGGGAUAACAGCGCAAUCCUAUUCAAGAGUCCAUAUCGACAAUUAGGGUUUACA
This 401-nucleotide ribosomal RNA is filed under the name Neotoma phenax (Sonoran woodrat). Its description in RNAcentral is "partial large subunit ribosomal RNA". The record is from RNAcentral. Lineage: Eukaryota; Metazoa; Chordata; Mammalia; Rodentia; Cricetidae.